AUUGAACGCUGGCGGCAUGCUUUACACAUGCAAGUCGAGCGGUAACAGGCCUUCGGGUGCUGACGAGUGGCGAACGGGUGAGUAAUGCAUCGGAACGUACCCAGAGGUGGGGGAUAACGCAGCGAAAGCUGUGCUAAUACCGCAUGUGAUCUGAGGAUGAAAGCGGGGGACCGAGCAGCAAUGUUUGGCCUCACGCCUUUGGAGCGGCCGAUGUCGGAUUAGCUAGUUGGUGGGGUAAAGGCCUACCAAGGCGACGAUCCGUAGCUGGUCUGAGAGGACGACCAGCCACACUGGGACUGAGACACGGCCCAGACUCCUACGGGAGGCAGCAGUGGGGAAUUUUGGACAAUGGGCGCAAGCCUGAUCCAGCAAUGCCGCGUGCGGGAAGAAGGCCUUCGGGUUGUAAACCGCUUUUGGCAGGAACGAAACGGUGUCCGCUAAUACCGGGCGCUAAUGACGGUACCUGCAGAAUAAGCACCGGCUAACUACGUG
RNAcentral lists this ribosomal RNA (492 nucleotides) under uncultured bacterium. Its description in RNAcentral is "partial 16S ribosomal RNA". It matches the Rfam family "Bacterial small subunit ribosomal RNA", at positions 29 to 507 of the family's 1533-position model. The record is from RNAcentral.